UCAAACAUGGUAACUAGAAAAUGGAAGACUUAACAUCUUUUUAGGCAAGAGGGCCCUGACUCUGCUCCCUCUUUACAUGCUGGAUCUCACAUAGGCACAAAUGAGAUUUCACUCUGCAGACAAGGGAGGCACCUCGGGAGAGCAGAACAAUCAAGAUGGAAGAAACCAGAACACUUGAACGACCUUGUGAAGCAGAGCUGUCCCUCUGGCCUGGAGCAAGCAGACUGCCGUAUAAGAGAGAAAUACAUUUCUAUCCUAUUUAA
This is a long non-coding RNA of Odocoileus virginianus texanus, 263 nucleotides long. RefSeq lists it as uncharacterized. The record is from RefSeq and is a predicted model, not a curated record. Lineage: Eukaryota; Metazoa; Chordata; Mammalia; Artiodactyla; Cervidae.